This is a long non-coding RNA of Dioscorea cayenensis subsp. rotundata (Guinea yam), 262 nucleotides long. RefSeq lists it as uncharacterized. Lineage: Eukaryota; Viridiplantae; Streptophyta; Magnoliopsida; Dioscoreales; Dioscoreaceae. The transcript is spliced from 3 exons. The record is from RefSeq and is a predicted model, not a curated record.
CCCCGAGAGAGAGAGAGAGAAAAAUAAAAUAAAAAGGGAAAAAAAUUGGAUAUAUGAGGUGGAGGACUUGGAGAUCAUCGGAGGGAGCUCACCGGAGUGUUUGGUGUUGUUCAAUCUUGGGAGGAAGUUCCAGGUCUAGCAAGGAACCCAAAGGAGACUAGGUGGCAGCGUAGAGCCCUAAUUGGAUUAUACAUCGAGAUCCUGGAGUCACCACACGGGACCGAUGGGCCAACGUCAAGGGUGUGAAGACCUUGGCGACUCC